RNAcentral lists this microRNA precursor (107 nucleotides) under Camelina sativa (false flax). RNAcentral's name for it is "miR393 stem-loop (cas-MIR393)". Its record names the gene cas-MIR393. It matches the Rfam family "mir-393 microRNA precursor family". The record is from miRBase by way of RNAcentral. Lineage: Eukaryota; Viridiplantae; Streptophyta; Magnoliopsida; Brassicales; Brassicaceae.
AGGAUCCAAAGGGAUCGCAUUGAUCCUAAUUAAGGUGAAUUCUCCCCGUUCCAAAGAAAUCGCAAAAAAUUUGCUUGGUUUUGGAUCAUGCUAUCUCUUUGGAUUCA